UCCCUCUUAGCUCAGUUGGUAAAGCGCGUCACUAGUAAUGACGAGGUCAGUCGUUCAAGUCGGCUAGAGGGAA
Molecule: transfer RNA, 73 nt
Filed under: Dendrothele bispora CBS 962.96
Lineage: Eukaryota; Fungi; Basidiomycota; Agaricomycetes; Agaricales
Description: Dendrothele bispora (strain CBS 962.96) tRNA
Rfam family: tRNA
About the family: Transfer RNA (tRNA) molecules are approximately 80 nucleotides in length. Their secondary structure includes four short double-helical elements and three loops (D, anti-codon, and T loops).
Source: Rfam by way of RNAcentral